Molecule: long non-coding RNA, 342 nt
Filed under: Phaseolus vulgaris (common bean)
Lineage: Eukaryota; Viridiplantae; Streptophyta; Magnoliopsida; Fabales; Fabaceae
Description: long non-coding RNA (PVUL_LNC004946)
Source: RNAcentral
GUUCAUAUUAUACUAGUCGGAUGCAAAUGUUUACACAAAUUAUGUCCAUUAAACGACAUUUAUAGUUGUAAUUGCAUUGAUAAAUGAAUAUGUUAACAUUCUGACUAUUAUAAAUGCGGAAGAAGAAUUGUCUAAUUUCAUAACCAAAGUGUUCAUUCAUCAAAUUCAUAAAUAAUUGUAAACUAAGUCUUUCUUCACGAAAUUACAAAACAUAACAACAACUAAAAUGAUGAUGAUCAUCAUCAUUGUCCGUGUCGUCGUCUGCGGACAUACACAGACAUGUCCUCAGUGGCUGAUCAGGCUAGCAUCAAGGCUGUCUGUGUCCCUUCCCAUGCAGNNNNN